GUUGGCAAGAUUUCCAAAGACACUCUGCCCAAGUUUCCCAUCAUCUGGCAACAUAUCUACUAUAUACGUAGAAUAGGUUUGAUAGAGGUUCUGAUGCCAUGGCAACAUUUGUGAUCUCAACUUGCUCAUCUCUAACAUUUGUUUUAUACACCAAAGAACAGCUGUCAUUGUGCCAGAUCCCUUUGAAGUCAAACUAGUCAAAAACACAGUGCUAGCAUUGCAUUUACAAACUCUACACGUACCAACAAAGUGUGUGCAUGUUUGUAUCUGUCCGUCUGUCUCUCCUCCCUCUAUGUCUGUGCAAACACAUUUACAUACAGGUCCACAGUAACUUGUAGCUUAUUUUAUCAAUAUGCACUUAAAAAUGCCAUUUACCUGAUGUAUGCGUAUUUCCUAUAUAAUAUAUGAUAUUUUAUAAGAUG
Pelobates cultripes (western spadefoot toad) is the source of this 422-nucleotide non-coding RNA. The record is from the annotation of a GenBank genome assembly. Lineage: Eukaryota; Metazoa; Chordata; Amphibia; Anura; Pelobatidae.